RNAcentral lists this ribosomal RNA (426 nucleotides) under uncultured bacterium. RNAcentral describes it as "partial 16S ribosomal RNA". It matches the Rfam family "Bacterial small subunit ribosomal RNA", at positions 354 to 796 of the family's 1533-position model. The record is from RNAcentral.
GUGAGGAAUUUUCCGCAAUGGGCGAAAGCCUGACGGAGCAAUGCCGCGUGAAGGAUGAAGGCCUAUGGGUUGUAAACUUCUUUUCUCAGAAAAGAAUUAUGACGGUAUCUGAGGAAUAAGCAUCGGCUAACUCUGUGCCAGCAGCCGCGGUAAGACAGAGGAUGCAAGCGUUAUCCUGAAUGAUUGGGCGUAAAGCGUCUGUAGGUUGUUUAAAAAGUAUUCUGUCAAAGAUUAGGGCUUAACCCUAGAUAGGCAGAAUAAACUUUUAAGCUAGAGUUUGGUAGAGGCAGAGGGAAUUCCCGGUGGAGCGGUGAAAUGCGUAGAUAUCGGGAGGAACACCAAAGGCGAAGGCACUCUGCUGGGCCAAUACUAACACUGAGAGACGAAAGCGAGGGGAGCAAACAGGAUUAGAAACCCCUGUAGUCC